This 1408-nucleotide long non-coding RNA is filed under the name Marmota monax (woodchuck). Lineage: Eukaryota; Metazoa; Chordata; Mammalia; Rodentia; Sciuridae. The record is from RNAcentral.
GGCUGCAGCAAAAUAACCAGGGUGGGGGUGACGAAUAACUUGUGUAGAUUGAUACAGCAGGAAUGGAAGCCAUUUAUUGCAGGACAGGAGCAGUAUUUAUACAUUCCACACAGCUUAUCUAAUUAGCAUAAACUAGAUACAUCAGUCAACCAAUCAGGAAUCUCCACACUUAAUGGCUUGCUUUUGUUACUUUUCCCCUGGCAAAAUGCCAGGUGUUAUUUUGACUUGUUCACAAACUCUAACACCUCUUGAUUUUCUUCUUCAUUCCCCACUAACCAGAACAAUUUCUUGAUUAUCCUUAAGAAAUUUUCUGGUCAUAGUGAAGCAUAUAUAUAAUAUAUACCUCCUUUCAUAUGUGAACCACAAUGCACAUUCUAUUCUAUAUCCCAUUUUUUGCCACUUAAUACCAUAUUUAGUUGGAGUAUUCCUAAUUUGAAAAUCAGAAAUGAUCAAAAAUCUGAAACUGUGAGCACUAGGACAUGAUGCCACAAGUGGAAAACUCUAUACCAUGCAUUUUCAUUCCAUGCACAAAAUUAUUAAAAAUAUUGUGUAAAAUUAUCUUCAAGCUCUAAUUAUAAGGUAUAUAUGACAAAAAUGAACAUUGUGUUUAGACUUGAGUUCUAUCCCCAAGAUUGAACAUUGUGUUUAGACUUGAGAUAGACAAGACUUGAGAUAGACAAGAUAUCUAAUUAUGUAUAUGCAAAUAAUCCAAAAUUCAAAACCAUUCAAAAUCUGACACAUUUCUGAUGUUAGGCAUUUUUGGAUAAGGGAUACUUAACCUGUAUUAGACAUUUUCAAUAUGCAUAAGUAUAAAAAUACCUCUAUUUCAAAUGUGUGUGUGUGUGUGUGUGUGUGUGUGUGUGUAGUGUCCUUGUAUGAUCCUGUCUGUGGUAUAAACAAUAUGGAAUUUUGGGGGCCAUAUUAUUAUGAAUCGUAUAACAUGCUAAAAAAAUCACCUAUUAUUCUUAAAAUUAAAAGGGCUGGGGAUGUAGCUCAGUGGUAGAAUGUUUGUGUAGCAUGCCCAAGGACUUGGGUUUAAUUUCCCAGUACUGCAAUAAUAAAUAAAAAGAAGAAGAGAAGAAAAAGAAUACACAUGGUGCCCUCAUGCCAUUAUCCUUCUUUUUCAGCCUUGGUGAAGAAUAUUGGGUGCUGAGGUUACUCAAAAAAUAGAAUGUCUUUUGUGUACCUCUAUUAGCCAGUUAGCCAAGAAACUUUGCAGAGCUGUGACUGGGCAAAUUAAUUUCCAUGUGCUUUAGUUCACUCACUUUAAAAUUAGGGACAAUGAUAGUAUCUCCUUAUGAGAGUCGUUAUAAGAAUAAAAUGAGUUAAAUAAUGAGGAAAAAUGGGUUAUAUAUGUAAAGCAAUUGGAGAAAUGCUUGAUGAAUAGUGCUGUGUAUUGAUAUUGCUA